Molecule: non-coding RNA, 3432 nt
Organism: Manis javanica (Malayan pangolin)
Lineage: Eukaryota; Metazoa; Chordata; Mammalia; Pholidota; Manidae
Source: RefSeq, a predicted model, not a curated record
UGCAAAUAUUUUCUCCCAGUGUGAGGCUUGUCUUUUCAUUUUCUUAACAGUGUCUCAGGAGAGCAGAGCUUUAAAUUUUACUGAAGUCCAACUUAUUGAUUAUUUAUCAUGGACUGUGCUUUUGUUAUUGAAUCUAAAAAAUCAUUGCUAAACCCGAGGUCACCUAGAUGUUCUCCUAUGUCGUCUUCUAGGAGUUUUAUAGUUUUGCAUUUUUCAUUUAGGUCUGUGAUCCAUUUUGAGUUAAUCUUUGUGAAGGGUGUGAGAUGUGUGCUAGGAUUUUUUAUUCAUGUGAAUGUUGUGUUGUCCCAACACCAUUUAUUGGAAAAACGAUUCCUUUUCCAUUGUGUUAUCUUUGCUCCAUGUCAAAGAUCAGUGGACUAUAUCUUUGGGUAUCAGUGGGUCUACUUCUGGGCUCUCUACCCUAUUCCAUUGAUUUAUUUGUCUUUCCUUUCACCAGUUCCACACUGUCUUGGUUACUUAGUUUUAUAGUAAAUCUUGAAAUCAAGUGGUGUCAUUUCUCUGAUUUUGUUCUUCUCUUUCAGUAUUAUGUUGGCUAUUCUGUUUAGAAUAUUUAGAAUUAUUGAGAAUGCACAUACACUUCUUGAAAUUCACUAUUCUGACAUAUGGAAAAUGGGAUCUGAUUUACCCGCCCGUCCAUGAGCUGAGUGAGGCCCUGGGCACUGAGGGGUUUGCCCAACAUCAAGCACAGGUACAAAUUCAGGUCUCCUGAUACCUGUGUGCUCCUCACCACUCUGUGUCUAGUUAUAGGAUCAAGUAUGUGUAUUAACUGGCUUCAGACUAAGUUGUCCAGUACAUUCCUUGGCCGCGCACAGCACAGUACUCAGUGUUCAUCCGGGACCCAGGUCCAGCACAGCAGCCUGCUUACAAAACCGCCAACAGGGCAGAGCUACUGGAAACUGUCAGCUUGCGGUGGUCAGAGGACAGGGAGUGAGGGGGUGGGCAGCCCUACCUGCCAGAAAUGAGGGUGGCCAAGGUGUCAGGGUGUGGCUGCCUGAACCUACCUUCAAAAACUGAACUUGCUCACAGGAACUCUCACUGGAAAACUAAGGGACCAGGUAAGUCAUCUGUACUGAAACACAGCCAUCCCUUGAUCUUAAAUCCCUGGCUAUUUCACAAGUACGUCUCUAAAGCAAAGUGGAAAAUUUUUCUCUUGUAUCUUAUAUGACAUGUGACAUACUUCCCAAAUCAAGUCUAAAAACAAAUAUGUUUUCUAUGUAUUUUUCUUAUCAGAAAAAUAAUAUAGGUUUAAAAAAGAACCCAAAAUUACAAUAAACCAUUAGAGAAAAGCAAAACUACGUAAUAGUCCUAACACACAGAGAUAACCCCCAUGACCAGUUUAGCAGUUUCCUUCUAGCAUUUAAUCUAGGCAUGUAUCCAGUGUCUGAGGGUUGUCCCUUUUAAUUGAUUUUAAUUAAUUGCUUUUCACUGAGCACACCGUAUUUGAAUGUAUGUAUAUCUUGAUUUUUUGGUUACAUUUCAUCACAGGUGUUUCCCGUGAUACUGCAUAUGCUUCGUGAACAUGACUGUCCGUUGUUGUGUUACAUCCUAUAAUAUAGCUCUGUAAUAAUUUAAUAGUUCUGCUACUGUUAGAAAAUUUGCUGUUAUAAUUAUAUUCACAAAGCAUAGCCUUGUACACAUGUCUUUGUCCACAUCUCUGGUUUCAAAAUUAUCCAUCUUCAGUAAGGACAUGGAUGCUUUUUGUCUUAGGGGGCAGCCCUCUUCAAAGACAUUGUGUCACCUUUGUCAAAAAUGUGUGUUUUUAUCUCUUUAGUGUCAUACCUUUCCGGCUGUCUUCACAUCUGAAAACAAUGUGAGAUGCUUAUCUUGUCUCUUUCCCAUCAAUUUGUUUGUUUCCAUCCUGCUGGUAGUUCUUAGCCAGACAUAAAUAUCUUUUUUUCUCCCAGUUAAGAUAGCAAUGUGGGCAGUGGCCUGUGAAAGGAGGUCCUCAAAUGUAAAUUAAACCAAAGAACUGGGGAAAAAAAAUAACACAAAAAUAUCCAGACUUGUCAUUAAUAAGGACCUGCCAGUCAGGAUUUGCAUAAGGAUUCUGCCUGAGGAUUACUGAGGUGACCGGAACACUUUCUCUUCCAAUCCAAGUAAGCUGAAUUUCUUUAUUUUGAAAUUUACAAAUCUAAAUGCAAGAAAAUGGAUUUCUGUCUAAAUAUAUAUAGCUAAAUUUUUUUUUUGCCAAUUUGGUGACAUUUUAAUGCCCAGUUUAUCAAAUCUGCUGUGUAGUUCAGAGGUACUGAGUCACUGAAAUUACCUAAGAUACACCGACUCUGUUUUUAUAGCAAUGUUUAAACAAACUCUCUCUCUCUCUCUCUCUAAGAGAGAGAGAGAGAGAGAGAGAGAGAGACUGACUGUCCUUUGGUAUAAGCUGAGAGUUACCAAAGAGCUACAGCCACUUCACUGUGCUUCCCCACAGACCCAGUUACUUCCAUAUUAUUUACUCAUAAAAUGUAGCCCUUAUGUUAAGAAAACUAUAGGCUAAAAUUCUUCAUGGAUAAAUGCAAAAAUGCUUCAAAAUAUUAACACAUAGAAUCCAGCAAUAUACAUAAGAAAUAACAUAAUGACAAAGUUGGGUUCAUUCCAGGAAUACAGGUGAGUUUAACAUUUGAAAUGCAAUCAAUGUCGUCCAUCACAUUAACAGAAUAAAGGAGAAAACCAGUAGGAUCACCGGGAAAGGUAAAGGAAAAGCAAUUAGCAAAUGCAACAUCCAUUAAGGAUAAAAAUUCCCAGAAAACUGGGAAUAGAAAGGAACUUCAUCGAUUUAAUGAAAGACAUCAGUGAAAAACCUACAGCUAAUGUCAAAUUAGCUGAACUCCCAACGCAACAACAAGGCAAGGAUGUCUGCCCCCAGCACCUCUGUUCAGCAUUGUACCAGAGGUCCUAAGGAGCGCACGGACACAAGAAGAAGAAAGAAAAGAGAAACAUUGGAAAAGCAGGCGUGGAACACUCUCUACGUGCAGACAGAUUGUUUAUGGUUCAUGUAGAAAUGAUGGUUUAUGUAGAAAGUCCCAAAACAUCAAAAUGAACAAACUACUAGAAAUAAAACUUAAGGUUAACAAGGUCUCAGGACACAAGAUCAAUGCAUAAAAAUCAAUUGUGUUUCUAUAUACUAGCAGCAAAUAAUUGGGAAAAUGUUCAAUCCAUCUUCAACAGUGUCAAAAAUAAACAAAAUACUCAGAAAUGGAUUUAAUAAGACAUGCAGAAUAUCUAUGUCAAAAACUAUGAAACAUGACUGAGAGAAAUUAAAGAAGGCCCAAACAAAUGGAGAGAUGUAUCAUGUUCACGGAGCAGCAACUCAGUAGGACUGGGAUGUCACUCCUCACCUAUUGAUUUCUAGAGCCAACGCACACUCAGUGGUAAUACCAGCAGGCUGUUCCUUUUUUUAAAAUAGAAAAUGAGAAG